CUGUAGCCUAAUAUUGGGUUUCGAUGUUGCAUGCACAGGAUAGAUGGGACACUGGGAAACAAUCGCUUUGGCGGUUGCGGAGUGGCCGUUGGGAUACCAUCCUUGCGAUAUUGGAAUUCUAACCUGCGGCUCUGAAUCGAGUCGGGGGACAUUGUUAGGUGGGCAGUUUGACUGGGGCGGUCGCCUCCUAAAAAGUAACGGAGGCGUUCAAAGGUUCGCUCAGCUUGAACGGAAAUCAAGCAAAAGAGUGCAAACGCAGAAGCGAGCCUAACUGCGAGACUGACGGGUCGAGCAGUAACGAAAGUUGGAGUUAGUGAUCCGGUGGUAUGUGAGUGGAAAUGCCAUCGCUCAACGGAUAAAAGUUACCCUGGGGAUAACAGGCUGAUCUCCCCCAAGAGUCCACAUCGACGGGGAGGUUUGGCACCUCGAUGUCGGCUCAUCGCAUCCUGGGGCUGUAUUCGGUCCCAAGGGUUUGGCUGUUCGCCAAUUAAAGCGGUACGCGAGCUGGGUUCAGAACGUCGUGAGACAGUUCGGUCCCUAUCUGUCGUGGGCGCAGGAUAUUUGAUGGGAGCUGUCCCUAGUACGAGAGGACCGGGACGGACGUACCUCUGGCGCACCAGUUGUUCCGCCAGGAGCAUAGCUGGGCAACUACGUACGGAUCGGAUAAACGCUGAAAGCAUCUAAGCGUGAAGCCGACCCAAAGAUAAGAUAUCCCACUGAUUUGAUCAGGUAAGACCCCUUGAAGACUACAAGGUCGAUAGGCACGAUGUGUAAGUGGAGCGAUCCAUUCAGCAAGCGUGUACUAAUAGGUCGAGGGCUUGACCAC
Molecule: ribosomal RNA, 826 nt
Filed under: human gut metagenome
Description: bacterial LSU rRNA
Rfam family: Bacterial large subunit ribosomal RNA
Source: RNAcentral